GACGAACGCUGGCGGCGUGCUUAACACAUGCAAGUCGAACGGAAAGGCCCUGCUUUUGUGGGUUGCUCGAGUGCCGAAGGGGUGAGUAACACGUGAGUAACCUGCCCUUGACUUUGGGAUAACUUCAGGAAACUGGGGCUAAUACCGGAUAGGAGCUCCUGCUGCAUGGUGGGGGUUGGAAAGUUUCGGCGGUUGGGGAUGGACUCGCGGCUUAUCAGCUUGUUGGUGGGGUAGUGGCUUACCAAGGCUUUGACGGGUAGCCGGCCUGAGAGGGUGACCGGCCACAUUGGGACUGAGAGACGGCCCAGACUCCUACGGGAGGCAGCAGUGGGGAAUAUUGCACAAUGGGCGGAAGCCUGAUGCAGCAACGCCGCGUGCGGGAUGACGGCCUUCGGGUUGUAAACCGCUUUCGCCUGUGACGAAGCGUGAGUGACGGUAAUGGGUAAAGAAGCACCGGCUAACUACGUG
RNAcentral lists this ribosomal RNA (468 nucleotides) under uncultured bacterium. RNAcentral's name for it is "partial 16S ribosomal RNA". It matches the Rfam family "Bacterial small subunit ribosomal RNA", at positions 28 to 507 of the family's 1533-position model. The record is from RNAcentral.